This 443-nucleotide ribosomal RNA is filed under the name uncultured bacterium. RNAcentral's name for it is "partial 16S ribosomal RNA". It matches the Rfam family "Bacterial small subunit ribosomal RNA", at positions 338 to 795 of the family's 1533-position model. The record is from RNAcentral.
CCUACGGGGGGCUGCAGUGGGGAAUAUUGGGCAAUGGGCGCAAGCCUGACCCAGCAACGCCGCGUGAAGGAAGAAGGCUUUCGGGUUGUAAACUUCUUUUGUCAGGGACGAAGCAAGUGACGGUACCUGACGACUAAGCCACGGCUAACUACGUGCCAGCAGCCGCGGUAAUAAGUAGGUGGCAAGCGUUAUCCGGAUUUACUGGGUGUAAAGGGCGUGUGGGCGGGACUGCAAGUCAGAUGUGAAAACCAAGGGGUCAACCUGUGGCCUGCUUUUGAAACUGUAGUUAUUGAGUACUGGGGAGGCAGACGGAAUUCCGAGUGUAGCGGUGAAAUGCGUAGAUAAUAGGAGGAACACCAGUGGCGAAGGCGGGCUGCUGGACAGCAACUGACGCUGAGGCGCGAAAGCGUGGGGAGCAAACAGGAUUAGAUACCCCUGUAGUC